GGGUUCGAUUAUGGCUCAGAUUGAACGCUGGCGGGAUGCUACACAUGCAGUCGAACGGCAGCACGGACUUCGGUCUGGUGGCGAGUGGCGAACGGGUGAGUAAUGUAUCGGAACGUGCCUAGUAGCGGGGGAUAACUACGCGAAAGCGUAGCUAAUACCGCAUACGCCCUUCGGGAAAGCGGGGGACCUUCGGGCCUCGCACUAUUAGAGCGGCCGAUAUCGGGUUGGCUAGUUGGUGGGGUAACGGCUCGCAAGGCGACGAUCCGUAGCUGGUUUGAGAGGACGACCGGCCACACUGGGACUGGGGCGGCCCAGACUCCUACGGGAGGCAGCAGUAGAGGAAUUUUGGACAAUGGAAACCCUGAUCCAGCCAUCCCGCGUGUGCGACAGAGGCCUUCAGGUUGUAAAGCACUUUUGGCAGGAAAGAAACGGCACGGGAUAAUACCCCGUGCAACUGACGAACACCUGCAGAAUAAGCACCGGCUAACUACGUGCCAACAGCCGCGGUAAUACGUAGGGUGCAAGCGUUAAUCGGAAUUACUGGGCGUAAAGCGUGCGCAGGCGGUUCAGAAGAAAGAUGCUGAAAUCCCAGAGCUUAACUUUGGAACUGCAUUUUUAACUACCGAGCUAGAGUGUGUCAGAGGGAGGUGGAAUUCCGCGUGUAGCAGUGAAAUGCGUAGAUAUGCGGAGGAACACCGAUGGCGAAGGCAACCUCCUGGGAUAACACUGACGCUCAUGCACGAAAAGCGUGGGGAACAAACAGGAUUGGAUACCCUGGUAGUCCACGCCCUAAACGAUGUCAACUAGCUGUUGGGGCCUUCGGGCCUUGGCAGCGCAGCUAACGCGUGAAGUUGACCGCCUGGGGAAAUACGGUCGCAAGAUUAAAACUCAAAGGAAUUGACGGGGACCCGCACAAGCGGUGGAUGAUGUGGAUUAAUUCGAUGCAACGCGAAAACCUUACCUACCCUUGACAUGUCUGGAAUCCCGAAGAAGAGAUUUGGGAGUGCUCGCAAGAGAACCGGAACACAGGUGCUGCAUAGCUGUCGUCCAGCUCGUGUCGUGAGAUGUUGGGUUAAGUCCCGCAACGAGCGCAACCCUUGUCAUUAGUUGCUACGAAGGGCACUCUAAUGAGACUGCCGGUGACAAACCGGAGGAAGGUGGGGAUGACGUCAAGUCCUCAUGGCCCUUAUGGAUAGGGCUUCACACGUCAUACAAUGGUCGGGACAGAGGGUCGCCAGCCCGCGAGGGGGAGCCAAUCCCGAAGGCGAUCGUAGUCCGGAUCGCAGUCUGCAACUCGACUGCGUGGAAAGUCGGAAUCGCUAGUAAUCGCGGAUCAGCAUGUCGCGGUGAAUACGUUCCCGGGUCUUGUACACACCGCCCGUCACACCAUGGGAGUGGGUUUUACCAGAAGUAGUUAGCCUAACCGUAAGGGGGCGAUUACCACGGUAGGAUUCAUGACUGGGGCCGUCGUAACAAGGUAG
Molecule: ribosomal RNA, 1481 nt
Filed under: uncultured Bordetella sp.
Lineage: Bacteria; Pseudomonadati; Pseudomonadota; Betaproteobacteria; Burkholderiales; Alcaligenaceae
Description: partial 16S-23S ribosomal RNA intergenic spacer
Rfam family: Bacterial small subunit ribosomal RNA
Source: RNAcentral